Long non-coding RNA from Panicum virgatum (switchgrass), 2327 nucleotides. RefSeq lists it as uncharacterized. Lineage: Eukaryota; Viridiplantae; Streptophyta; Magnoliopsida; Poales; Poaceae. The transcript is spliced from 2 exons. The record is from RefSeq and is a predicted model, not a curated record.
UCUCUCGUACGCCGCAGACACCACGCCUCCCUCCAGUUCCUCUUCCGGGCGCGGCAGCACAACACCGCGGCCCCCGCCUCAUUCCCGAUUCCCCCCCAAAUCCAAGCAAUGGAGCGAGCGGUCGCCGAGGAUUCCGCGCCGCCGGCGCUGACUCCUCCCUCUCGUACGGCCCCGCGCCGCUGCGCGGCGCCAUUCGCCACCUCCGCCUCCCCUUGCCGCCACUGCGGGGGUCCUCCUGCUCGUCCUCCCUCCUCGAGGAUCCAAACCCUAACGAAGGGGUCCGAUCGAUUGGGGGGAGAAGGCGGCGUCUACACCGACGCAUGCCGUCGCUGCGUGGUCGCCGCAUGUCUGUAGGUCCGCGGGGGCUGCGCGUUACGCCUCUCCGCGUGGCCGCGGCACGGCUGGAGGACCACAGCGACGGCUCCACCACAAUGUCGUGACGUCUCCGCUGAAUGAAGCAAGGAAAGCUAAUCAGCAGGCUAUGGUUGCUGAGAAGAAGAGGAUGUAGCCUCAUGGCGAGAGUGAGGUGUUUCUAAGGGAAGUACAAGAAAUGCGAGAAGGAGCCUGCACCUUAUGGAUGGGAUGGUGAGCUCCUCUUUUCACUCUAUUACAUUCAUAGUGGUUUGACGCAUACAGAAAGAUAUUCUUACAGUGAAAUAUCAGAAGAAUGCAUAGACUGGUAUAGUAUAUUGAACUGACAUGUGAAAGAAAAAGCCAAAAACUGAAAACACGCUGCUGUUUGUUUAUUGUGUAACCACUCUGUUUAUUGUGUAACCACUCUCACCAUCUCAUGUGUUUUGUACUUUUGCUUAAUCUCUGAUGAUUCAUAGAGAAAAAGUAUUACUCCAGUGAAACGUCAGAAGAACGCAUAAAACUGGUACAGUAUAUUUGUAAUGCCAUGUGCAAAAACUGAUUAAACACCACUGUUUGUUUAUUGCACAACCACUCUCUUAUGUGUUGUUUAAUCUCUGGCAAUUUGCUGCUUUUUUUCACAUUAGGGUCUAGCUUGUAUGUGUUUUGGAGGAUGGCUGAUUAGGCAUUAACCUUUGGGCGAUUCUUAUCAAUGAUAUUUCUUUUACAGUUUGAUCGGAUAGAAUUAUGUGGAACAUAAAGAUCACAAGGCUAAGUUUACUGAAUAGCUUGGUACAUCCUGGAAAUGCCAAUGAACAAGAAAAAUAAGCUAAGUUUGUUAGCAACAUAAGGAUAUAUAAGAUUAGCAAAUGCCUGCUAUCAUUUUCCUGGUAUCAUUCUGCUGCAACCAUUUACUUGCUACAUAAGUAAUAUUAUAUCUAGGGAUGAUGCAAGUCCCACCUUUUUUUGGGUUAUUGGGUUGACCCAAAAUUUGAUAAAAUGAACUAGAAUGGCAUGCUACGUAAUUAUUUUGGGAGAAAAAAUGAACUAAAGUGAGAAACCCAAAAACACCAAUGGGUACCCACUUGCAUCCCUUAUUUAUAUCUAUAUUAUACAACUAUUGCCAUUUGAGUGCCUUCUUUGGGCCUUUUGUUCCAUUUACAGCGCUCAAUUUUAUGCGCAGUAUAUAAUAAAUUUGAGAACUCAUAAUGUGCCUUUCUCUAUUCGAAUCAUUUACCUGCAUCUGAGAGAUCUGCGACAUUGGCUUUGAUUGAAUUUUUACUAGGUUGGAAAUGCAGUUCAGCACACGGGGCAAUUGAACAUGCUGCCCGCCGUCUUAUGCUCCUUUGGUUUUCCUUAUAAUUUUUAUAGCAAAUAGAGUUACUGGUAUUUAUUUGGGGGGCAAACAAAAACAUUGUUUUGGUGCAUAGUCAAGUUUUGCUCCAGACUCGAUCUAAUGAUUAGACGCAAAUACAGAGUUACUGGUGUUUAUUUUGAGGGCAACCUGAAACGGCAACACUGUCUUGAUUCAUAGUUCAAGCUGCUAAUGGUUGGCCUCAAACCAGUUUCGGUGGUUCGGGUUCUCAUUUGGUCUCGCCGGGUUCAGUGGAAAAUGGUUUGAGCAGCGUGCUGGUGUGGUUUGGUUCAGUUUAGCAACUAAAACAAUUUGGAUCGGUGUAGUACGGUUUAUAUUUGGUUUGACUUUUUUUGCAUACAACUCAAUGUAUAGACUAUAGUUUGGUCACGCCGCUGGCACUGGCACCGGCGGCGGCGGCACGACGGCUCGCUGCUAACGCUGGCCAAGUGAGCAACUUGUUGCUGCGAGGCCGUCAGAUACCCACCGUGGCAUCCUUGGCCACAUAGUAGUCGUCGCUGUUGCGGCAAUUUAAAAAAUGGUUUGGUUCUUAGACCAUUAGCAGGUUUUCAUAGUCAACUUACCUUAGAACUAGUUAGUUGGCCUGUGCUAACGCUACGGG